This 454-nucleotide ribosomal RNA is filed under the name uncultured bacterium. RNAcentral's name for it is "partial 16S ribosomal RNA". It matches the Rfam family "Bacterial small subunit ribosomal RNA", at positions 28 to 507 of the family's 1533-position model. The record is from RNAcentral.
GAUGAACGCUGACAGAAUGCUUAACACAUGCAAGUCAACUUGAACUUCGGUUUGGGUGGCGGACGGGUGAGUAACGCGUAAAGAACUUGCCUCACAGCUAGGGACAACAUUUGGAAACGAAUGCUAAUACCUGAUAUUAUGAUUAUAUGGCAUCGUAUAAUUAUGAAAGCUAUAUGCGCUGUGAGAGAGCUUUGCGUCCCAUUAGCUAGUUGGAGAGGUAACAGCUCACCAAGGCGAUGAUGGGUAGCCGGCCUGAGAGGGUGAUCGGCCACAAGGGGACUGAGACACGGCCCUUACUCCUACGGGAGGCAGCAGUGGGGAAUAUUGGACAAUGGACCGAGAGUCUGGUCCAGCAAUUCUGUGUGCACGAUGAAGUUUUUCGGAAUGUAAAGUGCUUUCAGUUGGGAAGAAAAAAAUGACGGUACCAACAGAAGAAGUGACGGCUAAAUACGUG